RNAcentral lists this transfer RNA (69 nucleotides) under Thalassarche melanophris (Black-browed albatross). RNAcentral describes it as "Thalassarche melanophrys (Black-browed albatross) tRNA-Asp". It matches the Rfam family "tRNA". Rfam says of the family: Transfer RNA (tRNA) molecules are approximately 80 nucleotides in length. Their secondary structure includes four short double-helical elements and three loops (D, anti-codon, and T loops). Further hydrogen bonds mediate the characteristic L-shaped molecular structure. tRNAs have two regions of fundamental functional importance: the anti-codon, which is responsible for specific mRNA codon recognition, and the 3' end, to which the tRNAs corresponding amino acid is attached (by aminoacyl-tRNA synthetases). tRNAs cope with the degeneracy of the genetic code in two manners: having more than one tRNA (with a specific anti-codon) for a particular amino acid; and 'wobble' base-pairing, i.e. permitting non-standard base-pairing at the 3rd anti-codon position. The record is from RNAcentral. Lineage: Eukaryota; Metazoa; Chordata; Aves; Procellariiformes; Diomedeidae.
GGGGCAUUAGUAAACCAAUUACAUAGCCUUGUCAAGGCUAAAUCACAGGUGAAAACCCUGUACGUCCCG